This 221-nucleotide long non-coding RNA is filed under the name Meleagris gallopavo (turkey). RNAcentral's name for it is "lncRNA (ENSMGAG00000018162.1)". The record is from RNAcentral. Lineage: Eukaryota; Metazoa; Chordata; Aves; Galliformes; Phasianidae.
UGUAAUAGCUAUUAAUAACAGCACUUAAACAAUGACAAAUUUAUUUGAAUUUGUACUUUUAGAAGUCUGCAGUGGAGUCAGUACCUGAAGAAUUGGGGCCUACUAUCACUCUUCCAUACUGGUCUUACAGAUUCUUUGGGCAGUUAAACAACAGUUUAAGAAGAUCUUAGCUCCAAGGCUCUCUGAAUGCUGUACAGACAUUAGCAAGCCUUGAUGAUGCU